CCAAGAAUAUCAGCUCCUUUUCCCUAUACCAUUGUGAAUUUUGACUUUGUCUUGCAUGUGCCAAGUAUCCUAUCCCCAACAGUCUCAGAGAUGAACAAUUCCUAGGCAGAAUUUACACAUCCUGUAAAAAUGAAAUUGGUGGCCUGCAGGAAGAAAAUCUCAGGCCUUGCCUCAGAAGCAACAUAGUCCGUGAUCUUUUUUCCUAAAGGUGAAGUCAUGGCAAUAAGGAAGAAGAACCAAAGUUACUAACGCUGUCCACUUCCACAAACCCAUCUUCAUGAAACUGGCACAGCAACAGCAUCUCACUUGUUGGCCUCUUGCCUGAAGCACUGACCGCACCCUCUAACCGUAAUAACAUGACUUCAGAACACCUGCAAAUACAGCUCACACAGCAAAUUAAGCUCUGUUUGCAGGGAUAAAGUAAAAAGCACAGAAGAAAAAUCAAGAACCGUGUCCUGCUUAUAAUAUAGUAAAAGAAUAGUAAAUCACACAAAUAACUGUUCAUUUUCAAAAGAUUUAAAUUAGCAAUGAAACAAAAAGGUUGGAAAUCUUUACAUUGACUGAUAUUCUUAGGUUCCUAAGGGUUUACAUUCUGUCCUUCAUGAAAUACAAACUCUAUAGCUGAGAAGAAAAAUUACUUAUGAAAUUAUACCUAUGCGAGUUAUACUUGCCUUAGGUAAAUAAAUGUCCAUCUAUAAAUGGUAGCUUGCAACUCAAUAUUCUGCAGCAUGAGUUACUAGAGGGAAAA
This is a long non-coding RNA of Cygnus olor (mute swan), 748 nucleotides long. RefSeq lists it as uncharacterized. The transcript has 3 exons. The record is from RefSeq and is a predicted model, not a curated record. Lineage: Eukaryota; Metazoa; Chordata; Aves; Anseriformes; Anatidae.